This 779-nucleotide ribosomal RNA is filed under the name uncultured bacterium. Its description in RNAcentral is "bacterial SSU rRNA". It matches the Rfam family "Bacterial small subunit ribosomal RNA", at positions 1 to 796 of the family's 1533-position model. The record is from RNAcentral.
UUAGAGUUUGAUCCUGGCUCAGGAUGAACGCUAGCGGGAGGCUUAAUACAUGCAAGUCGGGCGCCCCGCAAGGGGAGCGGCGCACGGGUGAGUAACACGUACGCAAUCUGCCUCAUGCUGGGGGAUAGCCCCGGGAAACUGGGAGUAAUCCGCCAUAGAAUCUGAGUGUGGCAUCACAUUGAGAUUAAAGUUUAAGCGGCAUGAGAUGAGCGUGCGUCUGAUUAGCUAGUUGGCGAGGUAACGGCUCACCAAGGCGACGAUCAGUAAGGGGCGUGAGAGCGUGGCCCCUCACACGGGUACUGAGACACGGACCCGACUCCUACGGGAGGCAGCAGUAAGGAAUAUUGGACAAUGGGCGGAAGCCUGAUCCAGCCAUCCCGCGUGCUUGAUGAAGGCCCUCUGGGUCGUAAAGAGCUUUAGACUGGGAAGAAACCACUUGAUGAGUCAGGUGUUGACGGUACCAGUAGAAUAAGCACCGGCUAACUCCGUGCCAGCAGCCGCGGUAAUACGGAGGGUGCAAGCGUUAUCCGGAAUCACUGGGUUUAAAGGGUGCGUAGGCGGCUUGAUAAGUCAGGGGUGAAAGCCCGCAGCUUAACUGCGGAACUGCCUUUGAUACUGUCGAGCUUGAAAGAGGAUGAGGUCAGCGGAACGUGACAUGUAGCGGUGAAAUGCAUAGAUAUGUCACAGAACACCGAUUGCGAAGGCAGCUGGCUGGACCUACUUUGACGCUGAGGCACGAAAGCGUGGGUAGCAAACAGGAUUAGAUACCCUGGUAGUCC